Molecule: unclassified non-coding RNA, 415 nt
Filed under: fungal sp.
Lineage: Eukaryota; Fungi
Description: partial internal transcribed spacer region
Rfam family: Eukaryotic small subunit ribosomal RNA (bases 1-46)
Source: RNAcentral
AAGUCGUAACAAGGUUUCCGUAGGUGAACCUGCGGAAGGAUCAUUAACACGUGAUACUCACGUAUUAACUCAAUAAAUCCACCGAGAACUAGUUAUUGUGUCCUGUUGUUGAAUGUAAGUAGGCGAAGUGAGGGAAUGCUAUGAGCCGCCCUUCGAAAGAUUGUACGCUCUAACUCAUUAGUCGUUCAUAGGUCCGCCCUGGAGCUUGCACCAGCAAUUAGAUUAGAUGAAGCACAACUGCUUAUUAAGCCUGUAGCGUAGCUUGCAGAUUCGUAGCUGAAAUAUUAACCCCUUUUUCUAUUAUUUACUGAUUUUGUAUGUUUAUAUGAAUUCCUGACUUCGGUUGGUUGAGUUUAUAUAGAUGUCGUAUAUUACUAAUACGAAACAACUCUUAGCAACGGAUAUCUUGGUUCUC